GACGAACGCUGGCGGCGUGCUUAACACAUGCAAGUCGAACGGAAAGGCCCUGCUUUUGUGGGGUGCUCGAGUGGCGAACGGGUGAGUAACACGUGAGUAACCUGCCCUUGACUUUGGGAUAACUUCAGGAAACUGGGGCUAAUACCGGAUAGGAGCUCCUGCUGCAUGGUGGGGGUUGGAAAGUUUCGGCGGUUGGGGAUGGACUCGCGGCUUAUCAGCCUGUUGGUGGGGUAGUGGCUUACCAAGGCUUUGACGGGUAGCCGGCCUGAGAGGGUGACCGGCCACAUUGGGACUGAGAUACGGCCCAGACUCCUACGGGAGGCAGCAGUGGGGAAUAUUGCACAAUGGGCGGAAGCCUGAUGCAGCAACGCCGCGUGCGGGAUGACGGCCUUCGGGCUGUAAACCGCUUUCGCCUGUGACGAAGCGUGAGUGACGGUAAUGGGUAAAGAAGCACCGGCUAACUACGUG
This 468-nucleotide ribosomal RNA is filed under the name uncultured bacterium. RNAcentral's name for it is "partial 16S ribosomal RNA". It matches the Rfam family "Bacterial small subunit ribosomal RNA", at positions 28 to 507 of the family's 1533-position model. The record is from RNAcentral.